RNAcentral lists this ribosomal RNA (422 nucleotides) under uncultured Ruminococcus sp. RNAcentral describes it as "bacterial SSU rRNA". It matches the Rfam family "Bacterial small subunit ribosomal RNA", at positions 356 to 794 of the family's 1533-position model. The record is from RNAcentral. Lineage: Bacteria; Bacillati; Bacillota; Clostridia; Eubacteriales; Oscillospiraceae.
UGGGGAUAUUGCGCAAUGGGGGCAACCCUGACGCAGCAACGCCGCGUGAAGGAUGAAGGUUUUCGGAUUGUAAACUUCUUUUAUUAAGGACGAAUAAUGACGGUACUUAAUGAAUAAGCUCCGGCUAACUACGUGCCAGCAGCCGCGGUAAUACGUAGGGAGCAAGCGUUGUCCGGAUUUACUGGGUGUAAAGGGUGCGUAGGCGGCUAAGCAAGUCAGAUGUGAAAUCUAUGGGCUCAACCCAUAAACUGCAUUUGAAACUGCAUAGCUUGAGUGAAGUAGAGGCAGGCGGAAUUCCCCGUGUAGCGGUGAAAUGCGUAGAGAUGGGGAGGAACACCAGUGGCGAAGGCGGCCUGCUGGGCUUUAACUGACGCUGAGGCACGAAAGCGUGGGUAGCAAACAGGAUUAGAUACCCUGGUAGU